This 480-nucleotide ribosomal RNA is filed under the name uncultured bacterium. RNAcentral's name for it is "partial 16S ribosomal RNA". It matches the Rfam family "Bacterial small subunit ribosomal RNA", at positions 28 to 507 of the family's 1533-position model. The record is from RNAcentral.
GACGAACGCUGGCGGCGUGCUUAACACAUGCAAGUCGAACGAUGAAGAAAAGACUUGCAGCUUCGGCAGAAAUUCAUUUCGGAUUAGUGGCAGACGGGUGAGUAACGCGUGAGCAACCUACCUCUUACAAAGGGAUAGCCUCGGGAAACCGGGAUUAAUACCAUAUAACAUUGCGACGAAGCAUUUCGAUGCAAUCAAAGCUACGGCGGUAAGAGAUGGGCUCGCGUCCCAUUAACCAGAUGGUGAGGUAACGGCUCACCAUAGUAACGAUGGGUAACCGGCCUGAGAGGGUGAACGGUCACACUGGAACUGAGACACGGUCCAGACUCCUACGGGAGGCAGCAGUGGGGAAUAUUGCACAAUGGAGGGAACUCUGAUGCAGCGACGCCGCGUGAGUGAUGAAGGAAUUCGUUUCGUAAAACUCUGUUCUAUGGGAAGAAAAGGACUGUACCAUAGGAGAAAGCUCCGGCUAAAUACGUG